Molecule: ribosomal RNA, 2627 nt
Filed under: Escherichia coli
Lineage: Bacteria; Pseudomonadati; Pseudomonadota; Gammaproteobacteria; Enterobacterales; Enterobacteriaceae
Description: partial 23S ribosomal RNA
Rfam family: Bacterial large subunit ribosomal RNA
Source: RNAcentral
UGUUAGUGGAAGCGUCUGGAAAGGCGCGCGAUACAGGGUGACAGCCCCGUACACAAAAAUGCACAUGCUGUGAGCUCGAUGAGUAGGGCGGGACACGUGGUAUCCUGUCUGAAUAUGGGGGGACCAUCCUCCAAGGCUAAAUACUCCUGACUGACCGAUAGUGAACCAGUACCGUGAGGGAAAGGCGAAAAGAACCCCGGCGAGGGGAGUGAAAAAGAACCUGAAACCGUGUACGUACAAGCAGUGGGAGCCUCUUUAUGGGGUGACUGCGUACCUUUUGUAUAAUGGGUCAGCGACUUAUAUUCUGUAGCAAGGUUAACCGAAUAGGGGAGCCGAAGGGAAACCGAGUCUUAACUGGGCGUUAAGUUGCAGGGUAUAGACCCGAAACCCGGUGAUCUAGCCAUGGGCAGGUUGAAGGUUGGGUAACACUAACUGGAGGACCGAACCGACUAAUGUUGAAAAAUUAGCGGAUGACUUGUGGCUGGGGGUGAAAGGCCAAUCAAACCGGGAGAUAGCUGGUUCUCCCCGAAAGCUAUUUAGGUAGCGCCUCGUGAAUUCAUCUCCGGGGGUAGAGCACUGUUUCGGCAAGGGGGUCAUCCCGACUUACCAACCCGAUGCAAACUGCGAAUACCGGAGAAUGUUAUCACGGGAGACACACGGCGGGUGCUAACGUCCGUCGUGAAGAGGGAAACAACCCAGACCGCCAGCUAAGGUCCCAAAGUCAUGGUUAAGUGGGAAACGAUGUGGGAAGGCCCAGACAGCCAGGAUGUUGGCUUAGAAGCAGCCAUCAUUUAAAGAAAGCGUAAUAGCUCACUGGUCGAGUCGGCCUGCGCGGAAGAUGUAACGGGGCUAAACCAUGCACCGAAGCUGCGGCAGCGACACUAUGUGUUGUUGGGUAGGGGAGCGUUCUGUAAGCCUGUGAAGGUGUACUGUGAGGUAUGCUGGAGGUAUCAGAAGUGCGAAUGCUGACAUAAGUAACGAUAAAGCGGGUGAAAAGCCCGCUCGCCGGAAGACCAAGGGUUCCUGUCCAACGUUAAUCGGGGCAGGGUGAGUCGACCCCUAAGGCGAGGCCGAAAGGCGUAGUCGAUGGGAAACAGGUUAAUAUUCCUGUACUUGGUGUUACUGCGAAGGGGGGACGGAGAAGGCUAUGUUGGCCGGGCGACGGUUGUCCCGGUUUAAGCGUGUAGGCUGGUUUUCCAGGCAAAUCCGGAAAAUCAAGGCUGAGGCGUGAUGACGAGGCACUACGGUGCUGAAGCAACAAAUGCCCUGCUUCCAGGAAAAGCCUCUAAGCAUCAGGUAACAUCAAAUCGUACCCCAAACCGACACAGGUGGUCAGGUAGAGAAUACCAAGGCGCUUGAGAGAACUCGGGUGAAGGAACUAGGCAAAAUGGUGCCGUAACUUCGGGAGAAGGCACGCUGAUAUGUAGGUGAAGCGACUUGCUCGUGGAGCUGAAAUCAGUCGAAGAUACCAGCUGGCUGCAACUGUUUAUUAAAAACACAGCACUGUGCAAACACGAAAGUGGACGUAUACGGUGUGACGCCUGCCCGGUGCCGGAAGGUUAAUUGAUGGGGUUAGCGGUAACGCGAAGCUCUUGAUCGAAGCCCCGGUAAACGGCGGCCGUAACUAUAACGGUCCUAAGGUAGCGAAAUUCCUUGUCGGGUAAGUUCCGACCUGCACGAAUGGCGUAAUGAUGGCCAGGCUGUCUCCACCCGAGACUCAGUGAAAUUGAACUCGCUGUGAAGAUGCAGUGUACCCGCGGCAAGACGGAAAGACCCCGUGAACCUUUACUAUAGCUUGACACUGAACAUUGAGCCUUGAUGUGUAGGAUAGGUGGGAGGCUUUGAAGUGUGGACGCCAGUCUGCAUGGAGCCGGCCUUGAAAUACCACCCUUUAAUGUUUGAUGUUCUAACGUUGGCCCCUGAUCGGGGUUGCGGACAGUGUCUGGUGGGUAGUUUGACUGGGGCGGUCUCCUCCUAAAGAGUAACGGAGGAGCACGAAGGUUGGCUAAUCCUGGUCGGACAUCAGGAGGUUAGUGCAAUGGCAUAAGCCAGCUUGACUGCGAGCGUGACGGCGCGAGCAGGUGCGAAAGCAGGUCAUAGUGAUCCGGUGGUUCUGAAUGGAAGGGCCAUCGCUCAACGGAUAAAAGGUACUCCGGGGAUAACAGGCUGAUACCGCCCAAGAGUUCAUAUCGACGGCGGUGUUUGGCACCUCGAUGUCGGCUCAUCACAUCCUGGGGCUGAAGUAGGUCCCAAGGGUAUGGCUGUUCGCCAUUUAAAGUGGUACGCGAGCUGGGUUUAGAACGUCGUGAGACAGUUCGGUCCCUAUCUGCCGUGGGCGCUGGAGAACUGAGGGGGGCUGCUCCUAGUACGAGAGGACCGGAGUGGACGCAUCACUGGUGUUCGGGUUGUCAUGCCAAUGGCACUGCCCGGUAGCUAAAUGCGGAAGAGAUAAGUGCUGAAAGCAUCUAAGCACGAAACUUGCCCCGAGAUGAGUUCUCCCUGAGACUUAGAGUCUCCUGAAGGAACGUUGAAGACGACGACGUUGAUAGGCCGGGUGUGUAAGCGCAGCGAUGCGUUGAGCUAACCGGUACUAAUGAACCGUGAGGCUUAACCUUACAACGCCGAAG